AAAGGCAGGAAGAUCUGCAAGACGCAUAGCUGGGACUCCAGGGAUGUAGUCCACAAGCUCGUCUCCCCGUUCUUAAUCAAACAUGAGGCAAAGACACGUAGAGAAAGCAAUGGGAAAAGAAGAAUACUGCGUAUCUAUAUCGGGAAAACAAUUGGCAAGCGUCAUACCUACAGGGCCAUCUGUAAUCUAGCAGUCACGCAGGCAGGACAAAAUUUGAUUGAGAAAGAGGUUCUGGAAGAAAGAAACUGACCUGACAGUUCAACCGGGAAAUGCCCGUUCUGCACGAGGAGCUCAAGAUGGUGAAGCACCGAGAACACCGUCGCGGACAUGGUCAUUAGUGACGCCACCGGAAUAUUCCUCCGGUUCCCCACUUCGACAGCCCAUACCAAAUAAGUAUCGGCCACUAUGGCACUCACCGGAUGUUUAAGCCGGUCCAGGAGCUCCUCAAAGGGCGCUUCCAUCUUCGUGCUGAUGGCCUCAAGGAAUCCGGGAAAAUCUUUACCACGAACACGCUCGGAAGGUAUGACGUUGGGUAUCGUGGCGAAGCGUAUGUUAGCCGGCUUGGUUUGUUCGCCGAUGAUGCCGAGCCACUCCUCGGUGACGACGAAGGUGACAAUAAUGGAUGGGCUUUUCAAAACUAGUUGCUUGCAAAGAUUCAUCAUGGGGUUGAUGUGGCCUCGAGCGGGAUAGGGCAUCGCCACCACGCCGCAAACGACGGAUGAAUCUGUUAAUAAUUUUGUAGGAUCCAUUUCUGUGAUCUGUGAUAAGAGUGAUAAUGCUCAAUAACGUAGAAAGAUUCUAGAACAUAUAGUACUAGUGACAAAUAUCGGGAAUACAUUCAAUAAUUCAGUUUAA
Long non-coding RNA from Carya illinoinensis, 855 nucleotides. RefSeq lists it as uncharacterized. NCBI's taxonomy places the organism in Eukaryota, Viridiplantae, Streptophyta, Magnoliopsida, Fagales, Juglandaceae. The record is from RefSeq and is a predicted model, not a curated record. The transcript has 2 exons.